RNAcentral lists this ribosomal RNA (22 nucleotides) under Epicoccum cf. nigrum XSCG06. Its description in RNAcentral is "partial 18S ribosomal RNA". The record is from RNAcentral. Lineage: Eukaryota; Fungi; Ascomycota; Dothideomycetes; Pleosporales; Didymellaceae.
GGUGACUGCGGAGGAUCAUUAC